RNAcentral lists this ribosomal RNA (2900 nucleotides) under Escherichia coli. RNAcentral's name for it is "23S ribosomal RNA". It matches the Rfam family "Bacterial large subunit ribosomal RNA". The record is from RNAcentral. Lineage: Bacteria; Pseudomonadati; Pseudomonadota; Gammaproteobacteria; Enterobacterales; Enterobacteriaceae.
GGUUAAGCGACUAAGCGUACACGGUGGAUGCCCUGGCAGUCAGAGGCGAUGAAGGACGUGCUAAUCUGCGAUAAGCGUCGGUAAGGUGAUAUGAACCGUUAUAACCGGCGAUUUCCGAAUGGGGAAACCCAGUGUGAUUCGUCACACUAUCAUUAACUGAAUCCAUAGGUUAAUGAGGCGAACCGGGGAACUGAAACAUCUAAGUACCCCGAGGAAAAGAAAUCAACCGAGAUUCCCCCAGUAGCGGCGAGCGAACGGGGAGCAGCCCAGAGCCUGAAUCAGUGUGUGUGUUAGUGGAAGCGUCUGGAAAGGCGCGCGAUACAGGGUGACAGCCCCGUACACAAAAAUGCACAUAUUGUGAGCUCGAUGAGUAGGGCGGGACACGUGGUAUCCUGUCUGAAUAUGGGGGGACCAUCCUCCAAGGCUAAAUACUCCUGACUGACCGAUAGUGAACCAGUACCGUGAGGGAAAGGCGAAAAGAACCCCGGCGAGGGGAGUGAAAAGAACCUGAAACCGUGUACGUACAAGCAGUGGGAGCACAGAGCAAUCUGUGUGACUGCGUACCUCUUGUAUAAUGGGUCAGCGACUUAUAUUCUGUAGCAAGGUUAACCGAAUAGGGGAGCCGAAGGGAAACCGAGUCUUAACUGGGCGUUAAGUUGCAGGGUAUAGACCCGAAACCCGGUGAUCUAGCCAUGGGCAGGUUGAAGGUUGGGUAACACUAACUGGAGGACCGAACCGACUAAUGUUGAAAAAUUAGCGGAUGACUUGUGGCUGGGGUGAAAGGCCAAUCAAACCGGGAGAUAGCUGGUUUCUCCCCGAAAGCUAUUUAGGUAGCGCCUCGUGAAUUCAUCUCCGGGGUAGAGCACUGUUUCGGCAAGGGGGUCAUCCCGACUUACCAACCCGAUGCAAACUGCGAAUACCGGAGAAUGUUAUCACGGGAGACACACGGCGGGUGCUAACGUCCGUCGUGAAGAGGAAACAACCAGACCGCCAGCUAAGGUCCCAAAGUCAUGGUUAAGUGGGAAACGAUGUGGGAAGGCCCAGACAGCCGGGAUGUUGGCUAAAGCAGCCAUCAUUUAAAGAAAGCGUAAUAGCUCACUGGUCGAGUCGGCCUGCGCGGAAGAUGUAACGGGGCUAAACCAUGCACCGAAGCUGCGGCAGCGGCAGCUUAUGCGUUGUUGGGUAGAGGAGCGUUCUGUAAGCCUGUGAAGGUGUGCUGUGAGGCAUGCUGGAGGUAUCAGAAGUGCGAAUGCUGACAUAAGUAACGAUAAAGCGGGUGAAAAGCCCGCUCGCCGGAAGACCAAGGGUUCCUGUCCAACGUUAAUCGGGGCAGGGUGAGUCGACCCCUAAGGCGAGGCCGAAAGGCGUAGUCGAUGGGAAACAGGUUAAUAUUCCUGUACUAGGUGUUACUGCGAAGGGGACGGAGAAGGCUAUGUUGGUAGGGCGACGGUUGUCCCAGUUUAAGCGUGUAGGCUGGUUUUCCAGGCAAAUCCGGAAAAUCAAGGCUGAGGCGUGAUGACGAGGCACUACGGUGCUGAAGCAACAAAUGCCCUGCUUCCAGGAAAAGCCUCUAAGCAUCAGGUAACAUCAAAUCGUACCCCAAACCGACACAGGUGGUCAGGUAGAGAAUACCAAGGCGCUUGAGAGAACUCGGGUGAAGGAACUAGGCAAAAUGGUGCCGUAACUUCCGGGAGAAGGCACGCUGAUAUGUAGAGUGAGGUCCCUCGCGGAUGGAGCUGAAAUCGGUCGAAGAUACCAGCUGGCUGCAACUGUUUAUUAAAAACACAGCACUGUGCAAACACGAAAGUGGACGUAUACGGUGUGACGCCUGCCCGGUGCCGGAAGGUUAAUUGAUGGGGUUAGCGGUAACGCGAAGCUCUUGAUCGAAGCCCCGGUAAACGGCGGUAGUAACUAUAACGGUCCUAAGGUAGCGAAAUUCCUUGUCGGGUAAGUUCCGACCUGCACGAAUGGCGUAAUGAUGGCCAGGCUGUCUCCACCCGAGACUCAGUGAAAUUGAACUCGCUGUGAAGAUGCAGUGUACCCGCGGCAAGACGGAAAGACCCCGUGAACCUUUACUAUGGCUUGACACUGAACGUUAGAGCCUUGAUGUGUAGGAUAGGUGGGAGGCUUUGAAGUGUGGACGCCAGUCUGCAUGGAGCCGGCAUCGAAUACCACCCUUUAAUGUUUGAUGUUCUAACGUUGGCCCCUGAUCGGGGUUGCGGACAGUGUCUGGUGGGUAGUUUGACUGGGGCGGUCUCCUCCUAAAGAGUAACGGAGGAGCACGAAGGUUGGCUAAUCCUGGUCGGACAUCAGGAGGUUAGUGCAAUGGCAUAAGCCAGCUUGACUGCGAGCGUGACGGCGCGAGCAGGUGCAGCAGGUCAUAGUGAUCCGGUGGUUCUGAAUGGAAGGGCCAUCGCUCAACGGAUAAAAGGUACUCCGGGGAUAACAGGCUGAUACCGCCCAGAGUUCAUAUCACGACGGCGGUGUUUGGCACCUCGAUGUCGGCUCAUCACAUCCUGGGGCUGAAGUAGGUCCCAAGGGUAUGGCUGUUCGCCAUUUAAAAGUGGUACGCGAGCUGGGUUUAGAACGUCGUGAGACAGUUCGGUCCCUAUCUGCCGUGGGCGCUGGAGAACUGAGGGGCUGCUCCUAGUACGAGAGGGACCGGGUGGACGCAUCACUGGUGUUCGGGUUGUCAUGCCAAUGGCACUGCCCGGUAGCUAAAUGCGGAAGAGAUAAGUGCUGAAAGCAUCUAAGCACGAAACUUGCCCCGAGAUGGAGUUCUCCUGACCCUUUAAGGGUCCUGAAGGAACGUUGAAGACGACGACGUUGAUAGGCCGGGUGUGUAAGCGCAGCGAUGCGUUGAAGCUAACCGGUACUAAUGAACCGUGAGGCUUAACCUU